UGGGCUAGAAGAGGUGCGUUAUUCAGGUAACGUAUGUGAGGAGCACACACUCCAAUGAUCAUACGUGAGGGGAAUUAACGCCGAGAAAUAACACUUUUUGUGAAGGGUUAUUUCGGGCGACUGGGUUGAAUCCCAGCGACUGUCACCAACAACAGCAAUGCUGUUGAUAUGUUUGGUGGAGAGCUUCUGGUCUU
Pseudoalteromonas sp. A601 is the source of this 194-nucleotide non-coding RNA. Lineage: Bacteria; Pseudomonadati; Pseudomonadota; Gammaproteobacteria; Alteromonadales; Pseudoalteromonadaceae. The record is from Rfam.